GUGGGGAAUCUUGCGCAAUGGGCGAAAGCCUGACGCAGCCAUGCCGCGUGAAUGAUGAAGGUCUUAGGAUUGUAAAAUUCUUUCACCGGGGACGAUAAUGACCGUACCUGAAGAAGAAGCCCCGGCUAACUUCGUGCCAGCAGCCGCGGUAAUACGAAGGGGGCUAGCGUUGUUCGGAAUUACUGGGCGUAAAGCGCACGUAGGCGGACUUUUAAGUCAGGUGUGAAAUCCCGGGGCUCAACCUCGGAACUGCAUUUGAAACUGGAAGUCUUGAGAUCAGGAGAGGUUAGCGGAAUACCGAGUGUAGAGGUGAAAUUCGUAGAUAUUCGGUGGAACACCAGUGGCGAAGGCGGCUAACUGGACUGAUACUGACGCUGAGGUGCGAAAGUGUGGGGAGCAAACAGGAUUAGAAACCCUAGUAGUCC
RNAcentral lists this ribosomal RNA (425 nucleotides) under uncultured bacterium. RNAcentral's name for it is "partial 16S ribosomal RNA". It matches the Rfam family "Bacterial small subunit ribosomal RNA", at positions 354 to 796 of the family's 1533-position model. The record is from RNAcentral.